RNAcentral lists this ribosomal RNA (465 nucleotides) under uncultured bacterium. RNAcentral's name for it is "partial 16S ribosomal RNA". It matches the Rfam family "Bacterial small subunit ribosomal RNA", at positions 338 to 795 of the family's 1533-position model. The record is from RNAcentral.
CCUACGGGAGGCAGCAGUGGGGAAUAUUGCGCAAUGGGCGAAAGCCUGACGCAGCGAAGCCGCGUGAGGGAUGAAGGUCUUCGGAUCGUAAACCUCUGUCAGCAGGGAAGAACGGUCACUGUGCUAUUCAGCAGUGAAUUGACGGUACCUGAAAAGGAAGCACCGGCUAAUGCCGUGCCAGCAGCCGCGGUAAUACGGAGGGUGCGAGCGUUAAUCGGUAUUACUGGGCGUAAAGCGCUCGUAGGCGGUAUGUCAGGUCAAGAGUGAAAUCCCCGGGCUCAAAGUGGGAAAUGCCUUUGAAACUGGCAAACUGGAGUGUGUGAGAGGAUAGUGGAAUUCCAGGUGUAGGAGUGAAAUCCGUAGAUAUCUGGCGGAACAUCAGUGGCGAAGGCGACUAUCUGGCACAUAACUGACGCUGAGGAGCGAAAGCGUGGGUAGCAAACAGGAUUAGAUACCCGGGUAGUC